GGGGUUGUAUCUCAAUGGUAGAGUGCUUGCCUAGCAAGUAUGAGGUACUGAGUUUGAUUCUCAGCACCA
This 69-nucleotide transfer RNA is filed under the name Ictidomys tridecemlineatus (thirteen-lined ground squirrel). RNAcentral describes it as "Spermophilus tridecemlineatus (thirteen-lined ground squirrel) tRNA". It matches the Rfam family "tRNA". Rfam says of the family: Transfer RNA (tRNA) molecules are approximately 80 nucleotides in length. Their secondary structure includes four short double-helical elements and three loops (D, anti-codon, and T loops). Further hydrogen bonds mediate the characteristic L-shaped molecular structure. tRNAs have two regions of fundamental functional importance: the anti-codon, which is responsible for specific mRNA codon recognition, and the 3' end, to which the tRNAs corresponding amino acid is attached (by aminoacyl-tRNA synthetases). tRNAs cope with the degeneracy of the genetic code in two manners: having more than one tRNA (with a specific anti-codon) for a particular amino acid; and 'wobble' base-pairing, i.e. permitting non-standard base-pairing at the 3rd anti-codon position. The record is from Rfam by way of RNAcentral. Lineage: Eukaryota; Metazoa; Chordata; Mammalia; Rodentia; Sciuridae.